UUCCAGACUCCUACGGGAGGCAGCAGUGGGGAAUAUUGCACAAUGGGGGAAACCCUGAUGCAGCGACGCCGCGUGAGCGAUGAAGUAUUUCGGUAUGUAAAGCUCUAUCAGCAGGGAAGAAAAUGACGGUACCUGACUAAGAAGCCCCGGCUAACUACGUGCCAGCAGCCGCGGUAAUACGUAGGGGGCAAGCGUUAUCCGGAUUUACUGGGUGUAAAGGGAGCGUAGACGGCUGUGCAAGCCAGAUGUGAAAGCCCGGGGCUCAACCCCGGGACUGCAUUUGGAACUGUGUGGCUGGAGUGUCGGAGAGGCAGGCGGAAUUCCUAGUGUAGCGGUGAAAUGCGUAGAUAUUAGGAGGAACACCAGUGGCGAAGGCGGCCUGCUGGACGAUGACUGACGUUGAGGCUCGAAAGCGUGGGGAGCAAACAGGAUUAGAUACCCUCGUA
RNAcentral lists this ribosomal RNA (446 nucleotides) under uncultured bacterium. Its description in RNAcentral is "bacterial SSU rRNA". It matches the Rfam family "Bacterial small subunit ribosomal RNA", at positions 329 to 792 of the family's 1533-position model. The record is from RNAcentral.